UACGUAGGGUGCGAGCGUUGUCCGGAAUUAUUGGGCGUAAAGAGCUCGUAGGUGGUUCGUCGCGUCGAAUGUGAAAUCCCGGGGCUCAACUCCGGGUCUGCAUUCGAUACGGGCGGACUAGAGUUCGGUAGGGGAGACUGGAAUUCCUGGUGUAGCGGUGAAAUGCGCAGAUAUCAGGAGGAACACCGGUGGCGAAGGCGGGUCUCUGGGCCGAUACUGACGCUGAGGAGCGAAAGCGUGGGGAGCGAACAGG
This 253-nucleotide ribosomal RNA is filed under the name uncultured bacterium. RNAcentral's name for it is "partial 16S ribosomal RNA". It matches the Rfam family "Bacterial small subunit ribosomal RNA", at positions 524 to 776 of the family's 1533-position model. The record is from RNAcentral.